CGGCGGCACCGGCGGGGCCGGCGGCACCAUCGGCGCCGGUGUCGCCGGCGCCUCCGGCGGGGCCGGCGGCAGCGGCGGUUCCAGCCUGACCGCCGCCGGC
This 100-nucleotide transfer RNA is filed under the name Mycobacterium tuberculosis. RNAcentral's name for it is "tRNA-Thr(ggt)". Lineage: Bacteria; Bacillati; Actinomycetota; Actinomycetes; Mycobacteriales; Mycobacteriaceae. The record is from RNAcentral.